GGUAACCCAGGCAAAGAUUGGUCC
RNAcentral lists this non-coding RNA (24 nucleotides) under Arabidopsis thaliana (thale cress). The record is from RNAcentral. Lineage: Eukaryota; Viridiplantae; Streptophyta; Magnoliopsida; Brassicales; Brassicaceae.